GAUGAACGCUGGCGGCGUGCCUAAUACAUGCAAGUCGAGCGAACAGACGAGGAGCUUGCUCCUCUGACGUUAGCGGCGGACGGGUGAGUAACGCGUGGAUAACCUACCUAUAAGACUGGGAUAACUUCGGGAAACCGGAGCUAAUACCGGAUAAUAUAUUGAACCGCAUGGUUCAAUAGUGAAAGACGGUUUUGCUGUCACUUAUAGAUGGAUCCGCGCCGCAUUAGCUAGUUGGUAAGGUAACGGCUUACCAAGGCGACGAUGCGUAGCCGACCUGAGAGGGUGAUCGGCCACACUGGAACUGAGACACGGUCCAGACUCCUACGGGAGGCAGCAGUAGGGAAUCUUCCGCAAAGGGCGAAAGCCUGACGGAGCAACGCCGCGUGAGUGAUGAAGGUCUUCGGAUCGUAAAACUCUGUUAUUAGAGAAGAACAAAUGUGUAAGUAACUAUGCACGUCUUGACGGUACCUAAUCAGAAAGCCACGGCUAACUACGUG
This 497-nucleotide ribosomal RNA is filed under the name uncultured bacterium. Its description in RNAcentral is "partial 16S ribosomal RNA". It matches the Rfam family "Bacterial small subunit ribosomal RNA", at positions 28 to 507 of the family's 1533-position model. The record is from RNAcentral.